CACUUUCCAUUUGCUCUCGAGCGCAGGCAUCACAGUGAUGGUGAAGUUCCUCUCCUAUUCACCUCAUCAUCCAGUGGAUGGAAUAAAACAAUUUUAAACCACGAUGUCACGUGCAUAUUUAGCAGAAAUGUCGUGGAUUUGAUUUUUAAUCGCGGAAGCUCGUAUAUCCAUUUCACAUAGAGAUGUCUGGCGACCUACAGUACUUAUAAUGCCACUGAGAUUCCAAGGGCCAUAUGCAGCUCGAGUAGUCACUCGCCCUCAGGAGGAAGUAAACGCAGUGCAGGCUCUGAGUCUGAUGCAACACGAGGGGUGGCAGAAGAAUGGAAGAUGAUCUAAAUGAAUGAAACAAUCUGAUCCGGAUCCUUUCGUAUCAACGAUGGUGAAACGCCAGUCAGAGCUCACAACUCCAACACCUUAUAUUUGUGAGCACCUAUGUCCUGAUAGUUCCAAUUCAAGGGGUAAAAUAUAAUAGAAAGAUAUCGAAUAAAAUCUAAUAUAUAAAAAUACAAAACAUAGACAGUAUAUAUAUAUAUAUAUAUAUAUCAAUCUUAAUGUUUACAUGGGCUUACAUUUUUAAAAUGUAAAUAAACAUUGA
This is a long non-coding RNA of Xyrauchen texanus (razorback sucker), 595 nucleotides long. RefSeq lists it as uncharacterized. NCBI's taxonomy places the organism in Eukaryota, Metazoa, Chordata, Actinopteri, Cypriniformes, Catostomidae. The record is from RefSeq and is a predicted model, not a curated record. The transcript has 3 exons.